CUCCCUGUAGCGCAAUACAUAGUAUAUUGGACUUUUAAUCCAAAAGUUGUGGGUUCGAAUCCCACUUGGGAUG
Non-coding RNA from Trichonephila clavipes, 73 nucleotides. Lineage: Eukaryota; Metazoa; Arthropoda; Arachnida; Araneae; Nephilidae. The record is from the annotation of a GenBank genome assembly.